GUCAAUUUCCAGAGCUUUGAAGGAAGUUUUUUGGGCAGUGUGAGUGAGCCGAACAUAGAUAAUUCACAUUUACUAUUCUUGCACUUUCCCAUCUAUAUUGUUUACUCUUUCUUGGUGUAUGCUAGUAUUUAUGUCCAUAUUUAUUUUCUUACUGGAAACUUCAUCUGUCAUAACAGGAUUGGCAUUUUUUUUUUUUUUUUUUUUUUGGGCGUUCUCUGGAAUUCCGGAGGAGUCGAACCCGUGUGCCUUGGGAUCCAGUUCACUCUAGUGUUUUACCACUAGGCUAUUCUG
RNAcentral lists this long non-coding RNA (291 nucleotides) under Brassica napus (rape). RNAcentral's name for it is "long non-coding RNA (BNAP_LNC021959)". The record is from RNAcentral. Lineage: Eukaryota; Viridiplantae; Streptophyta; Magnoliopsida; Brassicales; Brassicaceae.